Molecule: unclassified non-coding RNA, 1192 nt
Filed under: Hevea brasiliensis (rubber tree)
Lineage: Eukaryota; Viridiplantae; Streptophyta; Magnoliopsida; Malpighiales; Euphorbiaceae
Source: RNAcentral
GAUCCUAAUAAUUUGCUACUACAAUAAAUAAGGGAUUCCAACAAAUACCCACUACUUGGGAUGGAUGGAAUAUGCAAUCAUGAGUAGAAUGUUCCUAGAGACCCUUUAUGAUGGGGGGUAUUAGUUUUACUUACUAAAAGAAAAUAUUAAGCAAGGCAAAAGAAAAAUGAAAUAAGAGAAAGGGAAAUCGUUUUUUUUUCUUAUGAUAAAAAUUGUCCUAUACCCUAACUCUAGAUUUCCCAACUCUAAACUUACAUCCUCUUUUCUUCUCCCCAUUCAUUCAAGAAGGACUAGAUGAGAUAUGGAAAAUGAAGUUGCAUUAAUUGUUAGGAGUUUAAGAAUUGAAUGCAAAAUCAUUAUAUAUUAUAGUUCAGUUACCUAAGACGAUGCAUGUUAAGUGAAAAAAAAAAGGAGAUGAAGUACAUCAAGAUAAAAAACUGAAAAACAUCAAACCAAUACCCAAAGGAGAACCCAAAACAAUUACAACAAGAACUGAACAACAAAGGACCAAAACAAAAUCAUGCUCAAAGAAGGAGACAUCGAAAUGGUAGCUUAGCAAAAUUUAAACAGAUGCAAGAGGCUGCAAUAACCAUAAAACAGAACUAGAAGAGACCAAGCAUAUGCCUCUAAAUUUCUGCAUUUUUGAUGGCAAGAAUCAGUUCCCAACAUUGAAACAAAAUGCGUAAGCUGAAAUUGAAUACCAGAAAAAGUCUCCAAAGCUACGGAGAGAAUGGAGCAAAAACCAAAGACUGCUAAGAAUAGUAAAUUCUAAGCACAGAAAAUCAAAGGUUGCAAACUUUUGACAAUAAGACACAAACCCAGCAGAAAAAUGCCAUAAACAAAGACUAGCAUUAGCAUAAAGGCAUGCACAACAAUGGAUCGAAGCACAUAUUGACGAUCAUGAAAAUUCCCAAUCAAAUCCAACAAAUCAACAACAUAUCAGAACAUGCCUGGCCAUAAUUCCAACAUAAUAGUUAUUGAAGCUAAACAAUGAAUUUCUUAGGGAUAUGAAUAUCUUCCUUUGCCAAAGAGUCGGCCACAAAAUUGGUUUCUCUUAGAGAAAAGAUAAAUGAUACAGGAGGUAAUGAUUCCAAAUUGCAGCUAAUUAAAUUGAUAAAGUAUUUAACCUCCAAGGUAUAAGAUUCUAAUUUAACACCCAUGAAAUUGUUACUUUGGAAUAAUCUAGUUGUCA